Molecule: ribosomal RNA, 253 nt
Filed under: uncultured bacterium
Lineage: Bacteria
Description: partial 16S ribosomal RNA
Rfam family: Bacterial small subunit ribosomal RNA
Source: RNAcentral
UACGGAGGGGGCAAGCGUUGUCCGGACUCACUGGGCGUAAAGGGUGCGUAGGCGGUUGCAUGCGUCGGCGCUGAAAUCCCUGGGCUUAACCCAGGGGCGCGUGCCGAUACGAUGCGACUUGAGGCUCGGAGAGGGUGGUAGAACUCCUGGUGUAGUGGUGAAAUGCGUAGAGAUCGGGAAGAACAUCGGUGGCGAAGGCGGCGCUCUGGACCGAGACUGACGCUGAGGCGCGAAAGCGUGGGGAGCAAACAGG